CUUAAAACCUCCUGGAUGGAAGAAUGCAGUAUUUCAGUGGGUAAACUCUCUUCUGCAAAGUGAGAAGCUGUCUGAACAAUCUGGACCAAGUGUGGGACGACAGAGUGAACCCACAAUGGAGGGAGUGAGUGAUGAAGACCCAUUUGUUGAGCUUCACUGUGAGGAAGUAGAGGAACCUACAUCCACUCCAUGGCUUGACAGCAAGGGUGACUGUCAACAGACUGAUGCAG
This is a long non-coding RNA of Toxotes jaculatrix (banded archerfish), 230 nucleotides long. RefSeq lists it as uncharacterized. NCBI's taxonomy places the organism in Eukaryota, Metazoa, Chordata, Actinopteri, Toxotidae. The record is from RefSeq and is a predicted model, not a curated record. The transcript is spliced from 3 exons.